CCCUUAGAUGUUCUGGGCUGCACGCGCGCUACACUGAAGCGUUCAACGAGUAUUUCACCUUGCCCGGGAGGGUUGGGUAAUCUUUUUAAAACGCUUCGUGAUGGGGAUAGAUUAUUGCAAUUAUUAAUCUUCAACGAGGAAUUCCUAGUAAGCGCGAGUCAUCAGCUCGUGCUGAUUACGUCCCUGCCCUUUGUACACACCGCCCGUCGCACCUACCGAUUGAAUGGUCCGGUGAAAUCUCGGGACGGCGGCUUGGUCGCUUGCGUCCGACUGCUGAAACUUGAUUAAACCAUAUCAUUUAGAGGAAGGUGAAGUCGUAACA
RNAcentral lists this ribosomal RNA (322 nucleotides) under uncultured eukaryote. RNAcentral's name for it is "partial 18S ribosomal RNA". It matches the Rfam family "Eukaryotic small subunit ribosomal RNA", at positions 1470 to 1796 of the family's 1831-position model. The record is from RNAcentral.